AUUGAACGCUGGCGGAAUGCUUUACACAUGCAAGUCGAACGGCAGCACGGACUUCGGUCUGGUGGCGAGUGGCGAACGGGUGAGUAAUACAUCGGAACGUGCCCAGUCGUGGGGGAUAACGUAGCGAAAGCUACGCUAAUACCGCAUACGAUCUAAGGAUGAAAGCGGGGGAUCGCAAGACCUCGCGCGAUUGGAGCGGCCGAUGGCAGAUUAGGUAGUUGGUAGGGUAAAGGCCUACCAAGCCGACGAUCUGUAGCUGGUCUGAGAGGAUGAGCAGCCAGACUGGGACUGAGACACGGCCCAGACUCCUACGGGAGGCAGCAGUGGGGAAUUUUGGACAAGGGGCGAAAGCCUGAUCCAGCAAUGCCGCGUGUGUGAAGAAGGCCUUCGGGUUGUAAAGCACUUUUGUCCGGAAAGAAAUGGCUCUGGUUAAUACCUGGGGUCGAUGACGGUACCGGAAGAAUAAGGACCGGCUAACUACGUGCCAGCCGCCGCCGUAA
Molecule: ribosomal RNA, 500 nt
Filed under: uncultured bacterium
Lineage: Bacteria
Description: partial 16S ribosomal RNA
Rfam family: Bacterial small subunit ribosomal RNA
Source: RNAcentral